AUGAACGCUGGCGGCGUGCCUAAUACAUGCAAGUCGAGCGAACGGACGAGAAGCUUGCUUCUCUGAUGUUAGCGGCGGACGGGUGAGUAACACGUGGAUAACCUACCUAUAAGACUGGGAUAACUUCGGGAAACCGUAGCUAAUACCGGAUAAUAUUUUGAACCGCAUGGUUCAAAAGUGAAAGACGGUCUUGCUGUCACUUAUAGAUGGAUCCGCGCUGCAUUAGCUAGUUGGUAAGGUAACGGCUUACCAAGGCAACGAUGCAUAGCCGACCUGAGAGGGUGAUCGGCCACACUGGAACUGAGACACGGUCCAGACUCCUACGGGAGGCAGCAGUAGGGAAUCUUCCGCAAUGGGCGAAAGCCUGACGGAGCAACGCCGCGUGAGUGAUGAAGGUCUUCGGAUCGUAAAACUCUGUUAUUAGGGAAGAACAUAUGUGUAAGUAACUGAGCACAUCUUGACGGUACCUAAUCAGAAAGCCACGGCUAACUACGUG
RNAcentral lists this ribosomal RNA (496 nucleotides) under uncultured bacterium. Its description in RNAcentral is "partial 16S ribosomal RNA". It matches the Rfam family "Bacterial small subunit ribosomal RNA", at positions 29 to 507 of the family's 1533-position model. The record is from RNAcentral.